This 370-nucleotide long non-coding RNA is filed under the name Mytilus galloprovincialis (Mediterranean mussel). The record is from RNAcentral. Lineage: Eukaryota; Metazoa; Mollusca; Bivalvia; Mytilida; Mytilidae.
UGAUAAUGCUAAAUUAUCUAUUGAAUCUUACGUGUACAAAAAGUCUAAGAUACACAUGUAUAUAUGAUUCUAAAUAGAUUCAUAACAUUUAACAUGAAUUUUACAUGAACACAGAAAAUUCGAGGUCUGAAUAAGAUCCAUGUAUCAAUAAUACAGUAAACCGUGACACUGUCUGAGCCGGGAAAUAAUGAACCGAAACAAAUCUACCUUCUUAAACUAACCGGAAGGCCUGCCUAAAUGUCGUCAACGUCUCCAUCUCAACUUAUUGCUAAAUAAAGGCAACAGUAGUAUACCGCUGCUCAAUACAUCGAUUGAGAGAAAACAAAUCAGGGUUUCAAGCUUUGUACAGAGAAGAAAAAGUUGGCUUAAU